CGCUGAGGCGCUGAGGGCUGAGGCUCUUAUGGCGCGCGGAACCCGCCGCAGCUGUGCGGGCCGUGAGGGCCCACACGUGUGGGGAGCCUCAGCGGGGUAACGCAGCCCUGAGGGUCCGCACAGCUCCGCUCCCUCCCUCCCAGCUGUGGGAAUGGAAAUUAAUGAAGCGCUGCGGGCUGGGUAUCUUGGUUAAAAAUAACAGAAUCUCAGAUAUUUAAAUAAAAUACUUGGAGUCUGAAAGAAGCUUCUAGCUUGCCUGGUUUACUUCAGUGCUGCAAGCGAUGUUUAAUUCCAAGGGUAUUUCUACCACAAAGUGAAGCAAGACUGAACAUCUCAGGCCUUUUGAAGAUCUAUACCUGAAACUUCAAAACAGGGUCCAAUCUCCACUUCCAGUGUAGAGAAAGAUCUGUUGUACAACUAAUGAUCAUUACGUGGCAUUGGCUUGAUGGUGCAAGUUUGGAUCCAGAGGAUAUUCCUACCAACUCUUUAAAAAUGUAACCAAAAAUAGUCAUAGGAAAGUCUUCUGUACCUUUGAGAAGUGUAAAGACCAAUAUAGUUAUUAUAAAAAGAGAAUUCUAGGUGGAGCUCCUCAAAUAGGAAGUAAUUGUGAAUGUUUCUUAUAACUGAAUACUGCUAAUGCAUGAUUUAGAGACUACACAAAAUAAAAGAUUUAGUUCA
This is a non-coding RNA of Taeniopygia guttata (zebra finch), 678 nucleotides long. The record is from RefSeq and is a predicted model, not a curated record. Lineage: Eukaryota; Metazoa; Chordata; Aves; Passeriformes; Estrildidae.